Small nucleolar RNA from Alnus glutinosa, 109 nucleotides. The record is from RefSeq and is a predicted model, not a curated record. Lineage: Eukaryota; Viridiplantae; Streptophyta; Magnoliopsida; Fagales; Betulaceae.
UAGCCAUGAUGUGGGCAAGAGUUUAACAAAUCUUUAAAACGUUCCCAACAUUGAUAAAAUGUCUCAUUUUCCUUUUGAACAAAAUUCAUGAUUAUUCUUUUAAGAGCAU